GAACGAACGCUGGCAGCGUGGAUGAGGCAUGCAAGUCGAACGGGAAUUUUCAGUGUCGCAAGGCAAGAGGGGUGAGAGUGGCGGAAGGGUGAGGAACACGUGGGUAAUCUACCCUUAAGUCCGGCAUAACCUGCCGAAAGCGGAGCUAAUUCCGGAUGUGAUCGCGUUACGCAUGUAACGUUGUUUAAAGAUGGGGAUCCGCAAGGACCUGUCGCUUAAGGAUGAGCCCGCGUCCUAUCAGCUUGUUGGUGAGGUAACGGCUCACCAAGGCUUACGGGUAGCUGGUCUGAGAGGAUGGUCAGCCGCACUGGGACUGAGACACUGCCCAGACUCCUACGGGAGGCUGCAGUCGAGAAUCAUUUGCAAUGGGCGCAAGCCUGACAAUGCGACGCUGCGUGGAGGAUGACGGCCUUCGGGUUGUAAACUCCUGUCAUUUGGGAACAAUGCACAGGCGGUUAAUACUGUCUGGAAUCGAUAGUACCAGAAGAGGAAGUCACGGCUAACUCUGUGCCAGCAGCCGCGGUGAUACAGAGGUGGCGAAGCGUUGUUCGGAUUUAUUGGGCGUAAAGGAUGCGUAGGUGGUUAUCGUGUGUCAGAUGUGAAAGCUCACCGCUCAACGGUGAAACUGCAUUUGAAACUGCGAGACUUGAGUACAGGAGAGGAGAGUGGAAUUCUUGGUGUAGCGGUGAUAUGCGUAGAUAUCAAGAGGAACACCGGUGGCGAAAGCGGCUCUCUGGACUGAUACUGACACUGAGGCAUGAAAGCUGGGGGAGCAAACAGGAUUAGAUACCCUGGUAGUCCCAGCCAUAAACGGUGUACACUUGAUGUGGGAGGAUUUGACCCCUUCCGUGUCGGAGCUAACGUGUUAAGUGUACCGCCUGAGGAGUACGGCCGCAAGGUUAAAACUCAAAGAAAUUGACGGGGGCCCGCACAAGCGGAGGAGCAUGGUGGCUUAAUUCGAUGCAACGCGAAGAACCUUACCAGGACUUGACAUGCAACUGCACGUCCCGUGAAAGUGGGACUCCUUCGAGGGUGUUGCACAGGUGCUGCAUGGCCUGUCGUCAGUUCGUGCCGUGAGGUGUUGGGUUAAGUCCCGCAACGAACGCAACCCUUGUGUUUAGUUGCCACCGCCGGUGAUGAAUCGGCGAGCACUCUAAACAGACUGCCCAUAUCAAAUGGGAGGAAGGUGGGGAUGACGUCAAGUCAGUAUGGCCUUUAUGUCCUGGGCUGCACACGUGCUACAAUGGCCGGCACAAUGGGAAGCAAUACCGCGAGGUGGAGCCAAUCCUCAAAAACCGGUCUCAGUUCAGAUUGGAGUCUGCAACUCGACUCCAUGAAGUUGGAUUCGCUAGUAACGGCGCAUCAGCUACGGCGCCGUGAAUACGUUCCCGGGCCUUGUACACACCGCCCGUCACAUCAUGAAAGCCGUCUGCACCCGACGUCGCUGCUCCAACCCGCAAGGGAGGAAGGCGCCUAAGGUGUGGGUGGUGAUUGGGAUGAAGUCGUAACAAGGUA
Molecule: ribosomal RNA, 1515 nt
Filed under: uncultured Verrucomicrobiota bacterium
Lineage: Bacteria; Pseudomonadati; Verrucomicrobiota
Description: bacterial SSU rRNA
Rfam family: Bacterial small subunit ribosomal RNA
Source: RNAcentral